Molecule: ribosomal RNA, 253 nt
Filed under: uncultured bacterium
Lineage: Bacteria
Description: partial 16S ribosomal RNA
Rfam family: Bacterial small subunit ribosomal RNA
Source: RNAcentral
UACGUAGGGUGCGAGCGUUGCCCGGAUUUAUUGGGCGUAAAGGGCGCGUAGGCGGUCACGCACGUCCGUUGUGAAAUCGCUCGGCUCAACUGGGCGGGGUCAGCGGAUACGGCGUGGCUGGAGCAAGCUAGGGGGCAAUGGAAUUCCCGGUGUAGUGGUGGAAUGCGUAGAUAUGACAUAGAACACCGAUAGCGGAGGCAGCUUGCUACACAGUCAUUGACACUGAGGCACGAAAGCGUGGGGAUCAAACAGG